RNAcentral lists this transfer RNA (77 nucleotides) under Caudoviricetes sp. RNAcentral describes it as "tRNA-Met". It matches the Rfam family "tRNA". From Rfam's summary of the family: Transfer RNA (tRNA) molecules are approximately 80 nucleotides in length. Their secondary structure includes four short double-helical elements and three loops (D, anti-codon, and T loops). Further hydrogen bonds mediate the characteristic L-shaped molecular structure. tRNAs have two regions of fundamental functional importance: the anti-codon, which is responsible for specific mRNA codon recognition, and the 3' end, to which the tRNAs corresponding amino acid is attached (by aminoacyl-tRNA synthetases). tRNAs cope with the degeneracy of the genetic code in two manners: having more than one tRNA (with a specific anti-codon) for a particular amino acid; and 'wobble' base-pairing, i.e. permitting non-standard base-pairing at the 3rd anti-codon position. The record is from RNAcentral. Lineage: Duplodnaviria; Heunggongvirae; Uroviricota; Caudoviricetes.
GGCCCAUUAGCUCAGCUGGUUAGAGCAGUCGGCUCAUAACCGAUCGGUCCUGGGUUCAAGUCCCCGAUGGGCCACCA